This is an unclassified non-coding RNA of Pongo abelii (Sumatran orangutan), 150 nucleotides long. It matches the Rfam family "Metazoan signal recognition particle RNA". Rfam says of the family: The signal recognition particle (SRP) is a universally conserved ribonucleoprotein. It is involved in the co-translational targeting of proteins to membranes. Lineage: Eukaryota; Metazoa; Chordata; Mammalia; Primates; Hominidae. The record is from Ensembl.
GCCAGGUGUGGUGGUGCACACCUGUAGUCCCAGCUACUUGGGAGGCUUGAGGUGGGAGGAUCACUUGAGCCUGGGGGAACUGAGGCUGCAGUGAGCUGUGAUUGUGCCACUGCACUCCAGCCUGGUUGACAGAGUGAGACCCUGUCUCCA